This is a non-coding RNA of Tyto alba (common barn owl), 46 nucleotides long. The record is from Rfam. Lineage: Eukaryota; Metazoa; Chordata; Aves; Strigiformes; Tytonidae.
UUAAAGGCUUUUUUAAAAGCCAAGCUAUGGCCCUUAUCAGAUAUUU